Non-coding RNA from Paramuricea clavata, 306 nucleotides. Lineage: Eukaryota; Metazoa; Cnidaria; Anthozoa; Malacalcyonacea; Plexauridae. The record is from the annotation of a GenBank genome assembly.
CAAUAAAGAAAGUCAUGACAAUUGGAAAAUUUCAGCCGUUAGUGAAUUUACUAAAACGUCAUCGUUCAAGAUCGUUGUAUCAUUUGAUUAGACCAAUCGUUCUUUCUCACGCGUAGAAAAAUUGUUUCUCUUUCCUGAUUGGCUUAUGUACAUUGCCAAACAAGUUUUUGAGACAUUCUAAUUAAGUUUAAUUAUUCUUCCAAUUUUUACACUUAAUUAAUAAUGCCGUCUUAUGAUUUUGCAUGUCAUUUGACAUGACGUAUAUUCAUUUUUUUGUUAUUAUUUUUUAAAAAGCUUUCACUGGAU